GACGAACGCUGGCGGCGUGCCUAAUACAUGCAAGUAGAACGCUGAAGAAAGGAGCUUGCUUCUUUUGGAUGAGUUGCGAACGGGUGAGUAACGCGUAGGUAACCUGCCUGUAGCGGGGGAUAACUAUUGGAAACGAUAGCUAAUACCGCAUAACAGCUUUUGACACAUGUUAGAGGCUUGAAAGAUGCAAUUGCAUCACUACGAGAUGGACCUGCGUUGUAUUAGCUAGUUGGUAGGGUAACGGCCUACCUAGGCGACGAUACAUAGCCGACCUGGGGGGGUGAUCGGCCACACUGGGACUGAGACACGGCCCAGAAUCCUACGGGAGGCAGCAGUAGGGAAUCUUCGGCAAUGGGGGCAACCCUGACCGAGCAACGCCGCGUGAGUGAAGAAGGUUUUCGGAUCGUAAAGCUCUGUUGUAAGAGAAGAACGUGUGUGAGGGUGGAAAGUUCACACAGUGACGGUAACUUACCAGAAAGGGACGGCUAACUACGUGCCAGCCGCCGCCGUAA
RNAcentral lists this ribosomal RNA (512 nucleotides) under uncultured bacterium. Its description in RNAcentral is "partial 16S ribosomal RNA". It matches the Rfam family "Bacterial small subunit ribosomal RNA", at positions 28 to 523 of the family's 1533-position model. The record is from RNAcentral.